AGCAGCCGCGGUAAUUCCAGCUCCAAUAGCGUAUAUUUAAGUUGUUGCGGUUAAAAAGCUCGUAGUUGAAUUUCGGGAUCAGUAGGUCGGUCGUGCCACUGGUAUGCACUGGCCUCACUGGUUCCUCCUUCCUGAUGAACCGUAAUGCCAUUAAUUUGGUGUUGCGGGGAAACUGGACUGUUACUUUGAAAAAUUAGAGUGUUUAAAGCAGGCUAACGCUUGAAUACAUUAGCAUGGAAUAAUGAAAUAGGACGAUCGAUCCUAUUUUGUUGGUUUCUAGGAUUGACGUAAUGAUUAAUAGGGAUAGUUGGGGGCAUUAGUAUUCAAUUGUCAGAGGUGAAAUUCUUGGAUUUAUUGAAGACUAACUACUGCGAAAGCAUUUGCCAAGGAUGUUUUCAUUAAUCAAGAACGAAAGUUAGGGGAUCGAAGACGAUCAGAUACCGUCGUAGUCUUAACCAUAAACUAUGCCGACUAGGGAUCGGAUGAUGUUAAUUUUUAAUGACUCAUUCGGCGCCUUAAC
RNAcentral lists this ribosomal RNA (520 nucleotides) under uncultured Glomus. RNAcentral's name for it is "SSU rRNA". It matches the Rfam family "Eukaryotic small subunit ribosomal RNA", at positions 569 to 1092 of the family's 1831-position model. The record is from RNAcentral. Lineage: Eukaryota; Fungi; Glomeromycota; Glomeromycetes; Glomerales; Glomeraceae.